Molecule: ribosomal RNA, 496 nt
Filed under: uncultured bacterium
Lineage: Bacteria
Description: partial 16S ribosomal RNA
Rfam family: Bacterial small subunit ribosomal RNA
Source: RNAcentral
AUGAACGCUGGCGGCGUGCCUCAUACCUGCCAGUCGAGCGCACAGACGAGGAGCUUGCUCCUUUGACGUUAGCGGCGGACGGGUGAGUAACACGUGGAUAACCUACCUAUAAGACUGGGAUAACUUCGGGAAACCGGAGCUAAUACCGGAUAACAUGUUGAACCGCAUGGUUCAACAGUGAAAGACGGUCUUGCUGUCACUUAUAGAUGGAUCCGCGCCGCAUUAGCUAGUUGGUAAGGUAACGGCUUACCAAGGCAACGAUGCGUAGCCGACCUGAGAGGGUGAUCGGCCACACUGGAACUGAGACACGGUCCAGACUCCUACGGGAGGCAGCAGUAGGGAAUCUUCCGCAAUGGGCGAAAGCCUGACGGAGCAACGCCGCGUGAGUGAAGAAGGUCUUCGGAUCGUAAAACUCUGUUAUUAGGGAAGAACAAAUGUGUAAGUAACUAUGCACGUCUUGACGGUACCUAAUCAGAAAGCCACGGCUAACUACGUG